This is a long non-coding RNA of Chinchilla lanigera (long-tailed chinchilla), 2336 nucleotides long. RefSeq lists it as uncharacterized. The record is from RefSeq and is a predicted model, not a curated record. The transcript is spliced from 4 exons. NCBI's taxonomy places the organism in Eukaryota, Metazoa, Chordata, Mammalia, Rodentia, Chinchillidae.
CCUUCAGCUGAGCGUCUGUCGUCUUCAUUGACAACUUCCUCCAGUGUUCUCUUGAACAAACACUCCUUUCUGGUACAAAGCAGACUCUGAUCUCCACUCCUUAUGUGAACUCAGAAGUGCGAUGCUCCUUGUGGCACUGUUGUUGAGAUGAUGUGGUCACCACUGCGGGGCUGCCUUGGUUCACCAUGUGGCUGUCACCCACCAUGCUGUAAUCCCCAGGCAUCAAGUGCGUGGCAUUAUUCUGCCUGUGACAGAGUUUUGUCUCGGCCACUCUCCAAAGCAUGGUCAGUUGCGGAAGCUCCACCCCAGCAGUCUGAAUACAGAGACUGAAAAUCAUAAGCCUCCCUGCUCCUCGGCUCAUCUUGGGGUGCAAGUGUUCGGCCUCUGCUUGGGCACAGAGGUGAUUUUGGUGGAAAAGAAUUCUGAUGACCAUCACCAGCACUGGACACACCAGGAGGACAGCAAGUAUACUCAUCACAAUUGAGGAUUCUGCCACCAGUGUUACAUGCUGGGGUUCGGGGCCUCUGUAGUCUCUUCAAGUGCUGUCCAGAAUGUCUACCUGCAACGACGUUCUUCCUGUGAUUCUCACUGGAUUCCCUAAAGCUCUGUGGCAACCCAGGCUGCGGACAGAGGCCUCUGGUUCUGUGUGUGGCAGGAGCAGGCCGGCAGUCGAGGCUGUCCCCACCCAGCCUGCAUUGGAAUUGAGCACGGCCGCUGAUUCAGGGGUGCCGCCCGGAAUGAGCAGUGGGACCAGAAGGCAAGAGGAAGCGCAUUGCAGUGAGUCUGGGUGAGCAUACGUGGUCACUGGAGGAGGACACCAGCUCUGAAUCUGGCCAGUGUCCAGCAUGGCCUUGUCCUUCAUUCUUCUGAGUGUGUAGAAGGCUGUUUAAGAGAAACCAGAGAAGUCACCUGACACUCCACACUGUCGGGCCAGGGCCAGCACAUUUGAAAAACCCAACCACGGCCACUGCAGUCUCUUCCAAUUGCCUUUGACUUCCAGAACUCCACAGCUUUGUCAUCAGAAGCCCUUCCCAUCGUAUGCCAGAGAACAGAGAAGUGGCUGGCAGGAAGGAGACCGAGCCGACUCUGGAGGAGGUGAAGCUCACGGAAGGCGUAAGACGCACAGAGGUACCGUUCUUUGGCACUGCAGACAUUAAACACUCUGCCUCAUUAACGAGUGCGUAAAAGCACAAUGCUGAAUUUUAAAAUGGUGCUGUACAUUAGAUUCUCACAUCUGGGCCUUAGGACCACAUCUGCAUAUGCCAAGCACUGAACUGCCCUUUGGCAUCCGCCGUCUAAGAGGUGGCCAGCGCCUGUGAAAGCCUGUUUUGUUUGAGUGGAGACCAGAAAUUAUGAGCUUAGCGAGGAGGAGCUGGCCCGGCGGGUGUGCGCAGAGGUAAUUACACCGAUCGCUGGCGCGCUGAGCCUUCCGCUCCGCUGCUCAUCGCUCCUGAGGGUUCCGCUUAGUACCUAACGAGAGCAAGGAGCGAAACCUAACUGCAGCGGAGACAUUCAAGCGGGGAACUGAAGAGGGGCUUCAGUCCCACUGGUUAAUCGGUCAGGGCUGUCUGAUGUGAAGAGAUGGACGGAGAAAGGUCAGCUAUUGAGAGAGGACGGGACAGGGGCGAGGGAAGUUUUGGCUUUGUGAAGAUUUUCUUCGGAAUGAGAGGCUCCUACUUAAGAAAGUUUCUCAAGGGUGUGUUAUGUUCAUUCCAACUCGUACAUGUGUGCCUCGGUCCAGGUGACUAGAAGGAAGGAACUGAUAGAAACACGACUUCUGGCCAAGCUGAGAAGGUCAACCCCAGCCAGGGAGCGGGUGCGGGUGCUGAAUCCCGCUGGGCUCGCAGAGGCCAGGGCCGGGGGAGAGGGCGGCUGCAGUGUGGAGGUGGCAAGUGAGACUCAGCACUCAGCUACACUCCCUUGUGUGUUGCUCAGCUGAAGCAAAUAAUGUGAUUUUAAUAAUAAUAAAAAAAAAGCCUCAUCUGUUACUGGCAGAGAAAUCUCUGUAGGAGACACACCAGGCAAGAGUCCAGACAUACAUCUCUCUUCCUUUCUCCAAAUUGUAAAUGGAAGUUAAACGCUUUGUCAAAACGAAUGCUUCGCUUUUGUUAUCAUUUAUUGGUCCGUCUUUGCAGCACACCGUGCACGUUCAUCCUAGGGAUCAGGCAGAGGAGCGGAACACAUCUCAAUUGUUUUCAUUCCCCUUGUCUGUCUCUAGACCCCUUCCCAUCUGCAAAAGCUCUACCUUCCCAUUUCCUACUGUGUCCUUCAUUUUAUUUUACAAACUACUUAUACUGUGGCUUUCUAAUAUAAGAGAAGUUAUGCAGCAUUGAAGC